GGAGCGCUCAGAGCAGGGGCCUGAAGAAGUGACUCCUCUGUCCACUGCAGACACAACAGGAAUCUAGGUUCACUGAUAAGAGGCAGAAAACUUGUGGCCCUCUAAGGAACAAACACCCUACUCAU
Talpa occidentalis (Iberian mole) is the source of this 125-nucleotide small nucleolar RNA. RefSeq annotates it as small nucleolar RNA SNORA11. NCBI's taxonomy places the organism in Eukaryota, Metazoa, Chordata, Mammalia, Eulipotyphla, Talpidae. The record is from RefSeq and is a predicted model, not a curated record. The transcript has a single exon.